Molecule: ribosomal RNA, 817 nt
Filed under: uncultured bacterium
Lineage: Bacteria
Description: bacterial SSU rRNA
Rfam family: Bacterial small subunit ribosomal RNA
Source: RNAcentral
ACACAUGCAAGUCGAGGGGUAUAGUAGCGAUACUAGAGACCGGCGCACGGGUGCGUAACGCGUAUGCAAUCUACCUUUUGCAGAGGGAUAGCCCAGAGAAAUUUGGAUUAAUACCUCAUAGUAUAACGACUCGGCAUCGAGAUGUUAUUAAAGUCACAACGGCAAAAGAUGAGCAUGCGUCCCAUUAGUUAGUUGGUAAGGUAACGGCUUACCAAGACUACGAUGGGUAGGGGUCCUGAGAGGGAGAUCCCCCACACUGGUACUGAGACACGGACCAGACUCCUACGGGAGGCAGCAGUGAGGAAUAUUGGACAAUGGGCGCAAGCCUGAUCCAGCCAUGCCGCGUGCAGGAUGACGGUCCUAUGGAUUGUAAACUGCUUUUGCACAGGAAGAAACAACGCUACGUGUAGCGUCUUGACGGUACUGUGAGAAUAAGGAUCGGCUAACUCCGUGCCAGCAGCCGCGGUAAUACGGAGGAUCCAAGCGUUAUCCGGAAUCAUUGGGUUUAAAGGGUCCGUAGGCGGUCUUAUAAGUCAGUGGUGAAAUCUCCCCGCUCAACGGGGAAACGGCCAUUGAUACUGUAGGACUUGAAUUAUUAGGAAGUAACUAGAAUAUGUAGUGUAGCGGUGAAAUGCUUAGAGAUUACAUGGAAUACCAAUUGCGAAGGCAGGUUACUACUAAUGGAUUGACGCUGAUGGACGAAAGCGUGGGUAGCGAACAGGAUUAGAUACCCUGGUAGUCCACGCCGUAAACGAUGGAUACUAGCUGUUGGGCGCAAGUUCAGUGGCUAAGCGAAAGUGAUAAGUAUCCCACCUGG